This 300-nucleotide ribosomal RNA is filed under the name Triticum aestivum (bread wheat). RNAcentral describes it as "partial small subunit ribosomal RNA". The record is from RNAcentral. Lineage: Eukaryota; Viridiplantae; Streptophyta; Magnoliopsida; Poales; Poaceae.
AUGUCGCCGUCCAAGGGCGUCCUCUUCUACGGGCCCCCAGGAUGUGGCAAGACCUUGCUAGCGAAGGCCAUCGCCAACGAGUGCCAGGCCAACUUCAUCAGCAUCAAGGGGCCAGAGCUGCUCACCAUGUGGUUCGGUGAGAGCGAGGCCAACGUGCGCGAGAUCUUUGAUAAGGCGCGCCAGUUUGCGCCAUGUGUGUUGUUCUUCGACGAGCUCGACUCCAUCGCAACCCAGAGGGGCGGCAGGGUGGGCGACGCCGGCGGCGCGGCGGACAGGGUCCUGAACCAGCUGCUCACCUAG